GGAAUAAACAACGUCUACGCUGUUCGUGUGACCCCAUGCCACAAUGAACCAUGUGCCCUCAAGAAAGGUUCCAGUGUUUUAAUAGAAGCUGACUUCAAAGCUCCAAUCAGUGCCGACGAGAUUGUAACGGUAAUACGAGGUAAUAUCCGAGGGAAAAAACUUACGCUGCCGGGAGGCAAGAAAGAUCCCUGUAGAGCGGGCAGUCUCACCCCACCUUGCCCAAUAAUAGCUGGCAAAAACUAUACAUAUCAUGACAAGUUAGAAGUGGCUGAUUUCUAUCCACAGGUCCCCAUCAUUGUGAAGUACAGUUUAACAGAUGUCUUGGGAGAAACGCUGACUUGUGCGGAGGUGAAGACUCUCAUCGUUAAAAACUAAAAUUCUUUAUUCCUUUCAAAAAUAUAAACUUAAUUAUUGGAGAAUCAACUGUGGUUUUGUUAAUGUCUAUA
Long non-coding RNA from Limulus polyphemus (Atlantic horseshoe crab), 446 nucleotides. RefSeq lists it as uncharacterized. The record is from RefSeq and is a predicted model, not a curated record. Lineage: Eukaryota; Metazoa; Arthropoda; Merostomata; Xiphosura; Limulidae. The transcript is spliced from 3 exons.